Molecule: long non-coding RNA, 2582 nt
Organism: Cephus cinctus (wheat stem sawfly)
Lineage: Eukaryota; Metazoa; Arthropoda; Insecta; Hymenoptera; Cephidae
Exons: 3
Source: RefSeq, a predicted model, not a curated record
GUAUGCCACAAGCAGCGAUGGCGAGCAGCGACAAGCACGAAGGAACGUGGUGGAAUGGAACCAAGUAUAUUUUUGAAAGUCAACGCGGCAAUCCCACUAUUGUUUCUUCAAAUUGAAUACACUACAUCUGUAUCUAUUUACAUUGGUUUCCGAAGAAAUACGUUGAUGCACGUAGUGAGGCGUGAAACAGGUUUUCGAUGUUUAAUCCGACUCGACUGUCUCGUGAGAAGUUUGAAAAAUGAAGUUGGUCCUGGCCUCUCGAGCUAACAGAGACAUUAUUUACUUUAGGCGUCGUCCUUUUCAAAGAACUUUAGUCAUGUCGCAAGCUGACACCUAUACUGUGCAUCAGGUUAUCGUCUGUCUGUAUCGUGUAAAGCCAGAUUAGAUAUCAGCCAAUACCCGUCUCUACAUUCGUACGAUUCUUUCGCAGACUUCUGUGGCCUUCUUAAACGCACGUGAUUGUUUCCAAUUGACAAAGUGGCAGGAUUUUCGCAGUUGUGAAGUUCAAAGAGUUUCAGCGGUUCUCAUGCCGUCUAUGGUAACUCCAACGGACGUGGACGCGUCUCUGACGUAUAACGAACAAAGGAAUUGCUGCUUCCAUGCAUUCGCAGUCCGUGAAUGGUGUAAACAUGUGCAUACAGGAAGCCUUUCCGUGUAUCAGGAUAUCCUUGAAGCUUUUAUGGGGCCCUAAAGGAUUCCUGAUUUAACGUUGCUCAGCAAGUUCGCAACGUGCCAAGGUCAAGGACAACAGCAUACUCGUCGGGUAACCCUUACCAAGUCUAACCUCUGCUCUUUUCCUUCCAUUUACAUUACCAUUUACUAUAGCUGAUCGACAAGUCACACCGCGUAUCUCUUAACACGGUGUACAGACAGGCAGUGCGUAAACAACUUGAACAGUCGAGAGUUUACUAGUGGGCAGUGCUCAAUUGAGCCACUGGAUAACUGCAAUUUGUUCGACCGGAAACAAAAGGCAGAGACGUUGGGGGAGCAAUAUUAGACCUUACUCAAGUCUCUUGAGGGUUCGUUCUCUGCUCAAGUCUUUUUCCGCCUGUUCACGAUGCAAGGCGUCAUCCAUUUAUGUUCAUUCAAAGAGUCAUUCCAGGCUCUCUAUCAUACCUGAGCCUAGAUCUAUAGACAUUGCUGAACAAUAGACACAAGAACAGUUUUGUUUCAUCGCUGAGGAAUGAACUAAGGGCUCUAUAGAAAUCGUGCACAGAUAACGACUCACAGUGUUCUUCAAUAAUUUCUGAGGUCUAAUCGCUCGUCGAUUUCGAUUUGAAAUUCCAACUAGACAUAGGUCAUUGUUGUUUCACGAUUGGCAUUGUUGAAAGACCUUGUAGAGCAGCGGUUACGAUUGACAUGCCUGCCUUGCAAAUACGUGAAAGUUAAUUACAAUGUUAGGAAGUUACAGGUCGAUUAUGAGGUUAUCUGAAUCAGGUCGAUGUUACAUUUUCAUUUGGAGAAGGAAAGAAGGCCGUUGAGAAAUACGAGGGGCACGAUCUGCGUCAUAGAAACGCUGAUUCUAGUAUAACUGUUUUUUAAAAUUAAUUUGAAAUUUCUUAACGGUCUUCUUAUUUUGUCUAGUUAAAAAAGUACAAGAAAUCGUUAUCUAGAAAGAAUUGAUGAUCAUACGAAAAAAGUGUCCUCGGUGCUUAACUCGAGUCUCUUUUUAAGGUUAUCCGAUAACCGGUUAUCCAAUAAAACAAAAAUCAAAAUCCAUACUCGUAGUGCCUUGAAGAAAAUUUCAGUAUAAAUUAAAAUCGUUAGCUACUAUGUGACUGUGAGAUAGACGCCAUAUUUUUUGGGCUAUCUAUUUUUGCAUUCAUUUAAACUCUACUAGCCUUCACGAUCGAAUUCGUGCUAAACCAAACUCCAUUAUUUGUUCACACAGCAACUAGAGAAAACAUCCCCAAAAAAGAACUUCAGACUCAUGCGCCAUAAUACUGUUUGUAUUACGCGCGCGGAAACGACCGUGGCCUCCUUUUGCCAUACAUAGUUCAAUUAUCAUUGUAAAAACUAGGCGUCAAUCUAGUGAUCCAUAAAAUCGUGCUAUCUGCUCAGAUUAAACAGGAAGUUUGCUUUACUCGUGUCAUAUGCUCUUUUGUUCGUUGCUAAGAGAAAUUCAAUUAUAUGCCAUUUUUGUCACUUUGUCACGCGACAGCUUGAUUCCAAUUAUCAAUUGGAUCACGUGCGCCAAUACUAUACGAGGUAUACGCACAUAGACUGUGAAUACGAAUAAUAAUCGAAGCGUAAACAGUAGGUACGCUAGUGAAUCUUUACAUACUAUAGUUCCAAUUUUACUAUAGCACUGAAUUUACUAUGGAUUCCGGCGAAUGCGUAAGAUACAAGAUGCCUCUUAUAUGCUAGACAAAGUGUUUGCUUACCAUACCAUAAUAUAGUGUGUGUGUAUAUAUAUAUAUAUGUACUUGAAACCUUCAAAAGCGUCAAGAGUAAACUCAUAAGUCAUUCGAUACAAGUCCUGUUUUCAUACUGCUAACUUAGGCAAUGUUAAAAUCAGUAGAACGCACCAAUACGAGAAGAAAUGUAAAUCAACAUCAUCAAAUAUAAAAUUAAACACGGAA